AAAGGGUUUGAAGAUCAGAAUGUACUAUCUUCGCUCACAUGCUGCAGCCAAUGCAAUCAAGUUCACUGUCGAUACUUCCAUGCUCAAGGAAAACCCUAAGGUGGUGGGGGUGGAAGGGAUAAAGCAAUGGCAGGAACUUCAUUGAAGCACUUGUAAAAUAAACAGCAAAUUUUUGUAUCUAAUCAAAUGUUGAGUGUUUAUUUUACAAUGAGCUUUAGCAUCAAAUGUUCAUGGAGUGAUGAAUUGAUCGAGACAAGAAAUUCAAACAUAAUGUAAAAGAAUGCUAGAUGGAUAUAUCUAAUCAGGGAAAAUGGUGAAUUGUUACAAGAGAUAACGCCACUUACUGAUAAGUUGUGAGAUCAAAAAUUUCAUGUAUAUUUAGUUGUGUCAGGUAUUGCUAUAAGGUACUUGUUUUACAUUGCUUUGAAAACAUCUUUAUGUUGUCAUGUAUUUGGGUUGCAAAUGUGGUUGAUAUGUUAAAAUUUCUCCUGAAUCAAAUUUUAGACAUUGCAUAUGUGAAAAAGAUGCUCUCGCUGGCCUUAAGAUUGCUGCAGCCCAUUUCCAGCUGAGACAGUACCGUGGUUAAGAAUAAGUACUCCAAGAAAAAGCAGAGAUGGAGAGGCUAAAUUUGGCAGAAGUGAUUUAUAUAUCUGUUAUUUGCUUUCCCUUACUGUUGGAUAGCUCAUUCAUGAGGGAGCUUCUCAAAUUACAAUGGAUUCUCUCUUUGAAAUCAUUUGAUGACUCAUUGUGAUAGACGGGCAUCUCUUUCCCAAAAUUUAGACAUUGCACUGAUGAAAAAUAGUGCUCUUGUUGGGGCUCAGAUUGCUGCAUCUCUUUCCCAGCUCAGACAACAUUGUAGUUGAGAUCGAACCAAAUUAAUCUAUGUAGAUAUGUUCAAGUUCUAAGUAAAAGUUUCUGGCUGAUUUACCGUUUCCAUGUUGGAUGAUAUGAGCAAGUGCCCCUUAGCAAAGAACAAUAAUAAAUGUGGAGAGCUGAUGAAUAUUCAGGUGGCUACCCUGUGGAAUGGUGCAACCACGGUUUCUGCAACCAAAUUUUUUGCUUCUAUGGUUGGCACCCCAGUGUUUGUUACCGGGGAAAACAAGAUGUAUACCAGCAUGGAGAGCAGACGAUGGAUAUAUCCCCAGAUCUUAUAGAGCCUGGAAGUGAUUCAACUGUGAUUAUAAGUUACUAUUUCUGAAUUUUGUUACCAUCAGUACAGGAAACUCAGGGAGUUUGUGUUGCUGCUUACAAGACUCAUGAGUUCUCAACUUUUUCCAUUGAAACUAGUGGCUGCAAGGUUCAUAUUCAAUGAUGGUGUCUAACAAUCAUUCUGGUUUUGUUGUGGCACUCUUUUUUUCACCAGAAAAAGAGAGGUUUCUCCAAGAAUGUGUCUAUGCAUUAGAUGUCAAAUUGUUGGUCACAACUUUAUGUCUAGAAAUCAUAUACUUGUCCAUUUACAUUUUAAUGUAUGAGCAAGUAGUAAGAAAUUUCUUUUACAAGAAAAAGAAGCUGAGUGGGAAAGCAGUUCGACAUGCUGGGCAACUGUUGAAGGCAUAUAUGAGGUAAUUUUUUCUUUUUCUUUAAACCAAUCUAUUUGUUCCAUCCAAUUUGUGAUUUAAAAUUUAAUUCACUUGUGAAGAAAAUACUUUAGAGUUAAUUGUUGAUGGCCCUUCAUCCGUUUGGAACAUCUCCCAUAUGCUCUUCUAUAUAAUCAUAGCCAUCCAUCAUCACCAGUUAUGAGGAGGAGGAGAUUGUUGAAGACAAUCUCAUGACAUGUUUUGCGCUAUUGGAAGAGAGAAGUGAUAUAUGUAGAAGAAUACUCAAGAAGAACUCAUUUAAGAACUUUGUAUCAUGCUGGAAAAAUUUGACAGACCCAGAAAAAUUAUCACAGUGUGUCAUUUCGCAUCAAGGAAG
This is an RNA transcript of Mangifera indica (mango), 1914 nucleotides long. It is a transcript of the gene named ribonucleoside-diphosphate reductase large subunit-like, with no coding region annotated. The record is from RefSeq and is a predicted model, not a curated record. Lineage: Eukaryota; Viridiplantae; Streptophyta; Magnoliopsida; Sapindales; Anacardiaceae. The transcript has 12 exons.